Molecule: ribosomal RNA, 376 nt
Filed under: uncultured organism
Description: partial 16S ribosomal RNA
Rfam family: Bacterial small subunit ribosomal RNA
Source: RNAcentral
GUAGGGUGGCAAGCGUUGUCCGGAAUUAUUGGGCGUAAAGCGCGCGCAGGCGGUUCUUUAAGUCUAGACUGUGAAAGCCCACGGCUCAACCGUGGAGGGUCAUUGGAAACUGGAGAACUUGAGUACAGAAGAGGAAAGCGGAAUUCCACGUGUAAGCGGUGAAAUGCGUAGAGAUGUGGAGGAACACCAGUGGCGAAGGCGGCUUUCUGGUCUGUAACUGACGCUAGAGGCGCGAAAGCGUGGGGAGCAAACCAGGAUUAGAUACCCUGGUAGUCCAGCCGUAAACGAUGAGUGCUAAGUGUUAGGGGGUUUCCGCCCCCUUAGUGCUGCAGCUAACGCAUUAAGCAGUCCGCCUGGGAUACGGCCGCAAAGGCUG